GGCUUUAUGGUGUAAUUGGUUUAGCGCGUCCCGGACAUCAUGAAGAUCGGGAAGUUAUAGGUUCAAGUCCUAUUGAGGCCC
Orbilia blumenaviensis is the source of this 81-nucleotide non-coding RNA. Lineage: Eukaryota; Fungi; Ascomycota; Orbiliomycetes; Orbiliales; Orbiliaceae. The record is from the annotation of a GenBank genome assembly.